RNAcentral lists this transfer RNA (74 nucleotides) under Lutibaculum baratangense AMV1. Its description in RNAcentral is "tRNA-Ala". The record is from RNAcentral. Lineage: Bacteria; Pseudomonadati; Pseudomonadota; Alphaproteobacteria; Hyphomicrobiales; Tepidamorphaceae.
GGCCCGGUGGGGGAGCGGCCACCCGACGGCGAUGCAACGCCGGCCAGCCCCGGUUCGACCCCGGGGCCGGGCCU